Molecule: ribosomal RNA, 477 nt
Filed under: uncultured bacterium
Lineage: Bacteria
Description: bacterial SSU rRNA
Rfam family: Bacterial small subunit ribosomal RNA
Source: RNAcentral
UUCGCAAUGCCCGAAAGGGUGACGAAGCGACGCCGCGUGUGGGAAGAAGGCCUUCGGGUUGUAAACCACUGUCGGGAGUUAAGAAAUGCAAGGAUAUGAAUAGUGUCUUUGCUUGACUAAGGCUCCGGAGGAAGCCACGGCUAACUCUGUGCCAGCAGCCGCGGUAAUACAGAGGCGGCAAGCGUUGUUCGGAAUUAUUGGGCGUAAAGAGCACGUAGGCGGCUAUGUAAGUCGGUUGUGAAAGCCUUCCGCUCAACGGAAGAACAGCAUCCGAUACUACAUGGCUUGAGUGCGGGAGGGGAGAGUGGAACUUCUGGUGGAGCGGUGAAAUGCGUAGAUAUCAGAAGGAACGCCGGCGGCGAAAGCGGCUCUCUGGCCCAUAACUGACGCUGAGUGUGCGAAAGCUAGGGGAGCAAACGGGAUUAGAUACCCCGGUAGUCCUAGCCGUAAACGAUGGGCACUAAGUAGAGGGGUUUU